UCUCUGUCUCUCUCUCUGUCUCUCUCUCUGUCUCUCUCUCUGUCUCUCUCUCUGUCUCUCUCUCUGUCUCUCUCUCUGUCUCUCUCUCUGUCUCUCUCCCUGUCUCUCUCUCUGUCUCUCUCUCUGUCUCUCUCUCUGUCUCUUUCUCUGUCUCUUUCUCUGUCUCUCUCUCUGUCUCUCUCUCUGUCUCUCUCUCUGUCUCUCUCUCUGUCUCUCUCUCUCUCUGUCUCUCUCUCUGUCUCUCUCUCUGUCUCUCUGUCUCUCUCUCUGUCUCUCUCUCUGUCUCUCUCUCUGUCUCUCUCUGUCUCUCUCUCUGUCUCUCUCUGUCUCUCUCUCUGUCUCUCUCUCUGUCUCUCUCUCUGUCUC
Molecule: non-coding RNA, 366 nt
Organism: Paramuricea clavata
Lineage: Eukaryota; Metazoa; Cnidaria; Anthozoa; Malacalcyonacea; Plexauridae
Source: the annotation of a GenBank genome assembly